RNAcentral lists this transfer RNA (93 nucleotides) under Sphingobium yanoikuyae. Its description in RNAcentral is "tRNA-Asp". The record is from RNAcentral. Lineage: Bacteria; Pseudomonadati; Pseudomonadota; Alphaproteobacteria; Sphingomonadales; Sphingobiaceae.
GGCUCGAUGGUCAGGGUGACGUUGGUGUCGGCAGUCAGCUGGCCACCGGUCAGCGUGAAGCCGUUGGCCGCGGUGCAACCCACGGUCGAGCUG